AUUUCCGUAGGUGAACCUGCGGAAGGAUCAUUAUUGUAUAACCGAGGUGCGAGGGCUGUCGCUGACCCGAAAGGUCGUGCACGCCCGAGUGCCCUCACACACAUCCAUCUCACCCCUAUGUGCACCACCGCGUGGGUCCCCCUUUGGCUUGUUCGGAGGGGGGCUUACGUUUUCACACAAACUUUGUAUGCAGUGUAGAAUGUAUUUUUUGUUUUUGCGAUCACGCAAUCAAUACAACUUUCAACAACGGAUCUCUUGGCUCUCGCAUCGAUGAAGAAAGCAGC
RNAcentral lists this unclassified non-coding RNA (284 nucleotides) under plant metagenome. Its description in RNAcentral is "partial contains small subunit ribosomal RNA, internal transcribed spacer 1, and 5.8S ribosomal RNA". The stretch from base 236 to 284 matches the Rfam family "5.8S ribosomal RNA", at positions 1 to 49 of the family's 154-position model. The record is from RNAcentral.